UCUUUAUCGAGAGAAGUUGAGGGACUGGCCCUAUGAAACUUCAGCAACCAGCCGAAAGGUAAGGUGCUAAAUCCAGCAGGCAAGAAAUUGUCUGACAGAUGAAAA
Planococcus sp. PAMC 21323 is the source of this 105-nucleotide regulatory RNA element. It matches the Rfam family "SAM riboswitch aptamer (S box leader)". Rfam says of the family: The SAM riboswitch is found upstream of a number of genes which code for proteins involved in methionine or cysteine biosynthesis in Gram-positive bacteria. The SAM riboswitch acts at the level of transcription termination control. The record is from Rfam. NCBI's taxonomy places the organism in Bacteria, Bacillati, Bacillota, Bacilli, Caryophanales, Caryophanaceae.